Molecule: long non-coding RNA, 5294 nt
Filed under: Olea europaea subsp. europaea
Lineage: Eukaryota; Viridiplantae; Streptophyta; Magnoliopsida; Lamiales; Oleaceae
Source: RNAcentral
CAAACCCCUUUUUUGAGCUCAGACGUACGAUCCCAAAAAUCAUCUCCGGGAAAGAAGAUGGCGGGGCUACUAGCAUGGGCGGCGGACGUGGUGGGAGGCAAUGGCGGAGGGAGGACCGACGAAGAAAACUACCCAGAUUCUAUUCCACUAAUCUUCACCCCCGAACAACAGACAUACGUUCAAGAACUGGAUCGGAAGGCUGCUUCUUUAAAUCGUUCGAUCCAAGAUCUACGGCAGAGAUUGCCUCCUCCGGACAUCUCGCAACGCCUGCCACACCUCCACGCGCACUCUCUGGCCUCCAAUGCCGCCCUCGCUCUCCAACUUAAUGCCCACUCCACUACUAAACAACAGGUCCUUCCUUCAACCCUCCUGAUUUUAUUACAAAAAAAAUAGUCUCAUUCCUCUGGGUAUUGGUGUAUUUAAUAAAAUUUCGUUCCUAUAGAUUUGUGAGAAUUUUGGCGUGGAUGGUUCUUACUUCUUACAAUUUCCUAACACGACGUAGUAGUUAGAGAUAACCCUAAGGUUUUGGGAAAUUGAUCUUUUUCUUGUGUUGGUGCUUGUAUUUCCACAAUUCUAAAGUACGUUUCAAAUUGAAAAUCAACUUAAUCAGGGGCAGAAAAGGUGAAAAUCAAAAGAAUUUAAAUAAUUCGAGAAGGUAUCGAAGCUCGUAGCAUAAUGCCAAGUAUUGCAAUGCAGUAAUUUUCUGCAUAUUCAAAACUGUGAUUCACGAACUUCUUUUUGUGGUUUGGUUUCUUUUUCCAUUUUUUCUCCCUCACUACUUAAUGAAAUAAUUCAUUAUUGUACAAUGGGAUUUUUCUUCGGAAUACCCUCCUUAAGUUACUUUUUGGUUCGUGGAUGUGCAAAACUGAUUGUUAGUUAUAAUUAUUCUCUCAGGUACAGCAAAGAGAAGUUAGGUUGCAGGAAGAAAACACUGAGUAUGAAAAUGCUAUAUCCAGUUGUGAAAAUAAAAUACAGGAGAAGUUGCAGGAAGCAGAUGCACUUCAAAGUAAAUUGAAGGUUAGAGGUGUUUCCAAAGCUUUACAGAUUUUGCGAGUUUUCAGAAAUAUUGUUUUUCCUUUUAGUUGCUCUACUGAUUCACCACUAUCUGUAACAGUGUGUAGUGUAAAAUACUUCUUUUCUGCAUAAUCAAUCUCUACUUUGUUAUCUGUACAAGUUCUCAUAAGCUCUUUCAAAAGCAAAAUUUGAAGUAAUUCCAUGACGAAAAGAAGAUAAACUCCUAUAUAAUGUGGAUGUAUAUUUCUUGUCAUUUUAUAUUCUGCUUCAAUUUUGCCCAUACAACUGUAACUUAGAUAUAAUAGAUGAAUAAUGUUAAUUAAAAUUUCUUCCUAACCCAUAAACUUGAUUUAAUUCUAAUAUAGUUGCUUUUAGUCUGAUUCUUGGUUCCCUUCAUCCUGCCUUUGAUGAACGAUAUUGGGACAUGAGCUAGACUGGACUUCAACUCUAUAGGGAUAAUGAUGAUCUGGUUACAUCAGCGUCAACAACUAAAUUGAGGACAGAGGCUUAGAGAGCUAUUGUUGUUGACCUUUAAUCUUUGAACUCUACAUAUUCCUAUUAGUUCCUCCACACACGAGGAUGACAUUCAAUAAAUUCACCAAUAUUUUUGUACAUGGUUUAAAAUAACCCAAUUGAGGCCCACCUUGAUGCCCACCUCAAAGGGAGGUGAACAAAGAAUGCGUCGAGGCGCUAAUUCUGAGGUAGUUUUUGGAGGUGUGCGCUACUUAAUAUUUUACGCUCUUUACUUCGCUUUAUGGACGGGCUCGCAAAAAAAUUUAAAAUUCUUAUUGACCAACUUUGGGAGUAGCCCACUAUCACUAUUAUAACAUCAAAAGGUUAUGUUUCUUAUAGACUCAAUUUGAGAGUACUCCACUACUCACUAACUAAAGGUUUCUUUUUUUGUUACUUUAUAUAUUUUUCUUUUCAUUGUUUGCAUACUUAAAUUGUUAUAUUGUGGAUUUGAAGAUUGUUUAUGGUUUAGUAUGCUCUUAUUUUGCAUUUCAAUAGUUUUAUGACUUUUAUUUGGUAUACACCUUGAGGUUUAUGCCUCAUCUCACUUAAGGUAAAAUGCCUUAUUCUCGAUUUGGCUUUUUAAGCAUUGGUUUCUAAGCAAUAGGAUUCCACUAUUACAAUUUGACCAAAUAAUUUUCAUCUCAUUACAAUCAAAAAUGUUUUGCAACUCAAGAUUUAUUCAAUCAUCACCUGGUCCGAUAUAGGACAACUGUGGGAAAAGUUGAAAUGAAGCUGUUUACAUAUGCAGUAGUAAAUAUCGUAUCAAGGUCUAAAAGAAGUGAAUAAGGCAGAUUUUGUGUUCAGAUAGUGUUCAAUUUGAUAGGUAUGAACUAUGACAUGAGAUCACAAUUUGCUUCUCAUGUUCUAGGGUUUCCCUUUGAGAGGUCAAAACUUUUGUGCUUCAAUGACUUUAGGUGGCAAAAGAGAGUGAAAGAAGAUUUGACUCUUUCAUGGUUACUGCAAAAAUAAGGUAAAUAGAACUAGAAAUGACUGCAAUAUUUUCUACUCGUCUAUCCUAGUAAAGUUUGAAUAUUUCAAUCAUCAGGUGAUUUCUAUUCACAUUUAGAACUUCACUUCCUUGUUUGACCACAAUACUGUUACAUAUGUGGCUUGCCUAUGCCACUUGCCACAUGGAAAUGCCAAAAACAGUAUUGUCUUGUGGUGUGUGAAAAAUUGCUUAGGUUCACAUCUUCUAGAGUUCUCAGUGAUUUUAUUAUAAUAUGCUAUGGGAGGUUUUUCACCACACUUUUUCUGUUGUAAUAUUAGUUAUCAUUUGCUGUCAACAUGAUUAUAUUUGUUUUGCUUUCUAAUUCUAACUACUACCAGAAAUGACUCGCUGCUACAAAGGCCCUACAUGAGAUACUUAUAUCCUUUUCGAGUUAACAUUAACAUUACCUGACAGUCAGCAUUUUUAAAAAAGAAUGGAAGUUGUUAUAUUAAUUUACCCAUGGCCUUACUUUAUGAUUCCUCUUUAUUUCUUCAUCUGAGUGUAGAAAAAAAUCAUUUCAUAUUUUUUGCAAACGGUGCAUUAUUUGUGUAUUAAUAUGUGGUCCUAUUUCUUGUAUUAUCUAUCUGAUAAGUUAUUUUCUUGCUAUUGACGCAGCUAAGAGGAAGUAAAUCACUACAUUAGUUGUUUCUGGUAAUUUUCAUUUUUUAUAGGAUUUUUUUUUUCUUCCCUCUAGGAUUCUAUGAUAAUAAACAAGUUGCUUUUGAUAAUUUUCUUUAUUUAGGAUUCUACUUUUUCAUUUUAGGAUCAGAUUAGGCUACAUUUUGAAUUGUAUAAAUGGUACCACUAUGGUCUUUUAGAAGGGUGAAUUAUUGAAUAAAAAAUUAAGUUUUUUUAUUUCUGGCUUCUCAUUGUUCUACAUGAAUGAACGAGUUAAAAUUCUUGGUAUUCUGUGUGAAUCAAUGAGUUUUUUUUUGCCUAUUUCUUGAAAUUUACGAGCUCCUUCAUAUGCGCUUAAAUGAUUUCCCUGCUUCAUACACCCAUGCAUUUACACUAGUUUAUAGCAAAUAAAAAUGAAAAAAACAACCUAAGUUAACUCCAGAUUGUCUUGUUAUAGAGCAUGACCAUGCUGGUGAGUCAAGACAAUGUGUGGAUCCAGAUAUUAUGCAAAUCUACAUUUUCACGUCUUUGUGAUUGAAAACUUUCUAAUUAAAGUCAACUUGUAGUUGUUUUGGCCUUAUGAUUUAUCUUUAAAUUAGUUACUUUAUCCUAAAAUUUCUUCAUUAUCAAAUUUAUAUGUUAAUAGUUUAUGUCUUCCAGGAAAUGGACUUGAUUGAAGAGAACUUAAUAGCAGAGCUGGAACAAGCAAAAGUUGUAGUGACUGCAAGUCGGCCUGGUGAAUCAAAUGAACUGUUUAUUGAAUCCAAAUCAGUCAUUGAAUCUCUAGACGACGCAGAAGCUCCUAGACUAUCAUUGUUGGAGAAGUUAGAGAUGAAGAAAAAAGAACUGGUCCGUUGAGUGAUUCAUUGUCAUAUUCACCAUAUAUGUAUGAAGUGAAUUUAAACUGAUGGAUAUUUUGUUUCUUCUUAGGCUUUGAUGGAAGAAAUUGUUCAAGACAUGGAGAAAAAGUGGGCGGAGGUUCAAGCUAAUGCAUUGAAGCAACCAACUCCUGGUAUAAUUUUUCAUCUUUUAUGUAGCAUGGAAUGUGGAUUGCAAGUAUUCAAUUCCUAGCAUGUAGCAUGCUAAAUUGACGAGCAUAUAUCUGCUUUUGACAUGCCCCAUUUACUUCCAUUUUUAAGUUGGAAUCUUAGCACGUAUCACUUUUGAUAUAUUCGGCGUGCUUUAAAUUUGAUGCAAUUCCAUGCAGCUCAGCGAGAGAAGGCUUUGGAUAAACAGCUUCACAGCCUAAUUGAACAACUUGCAGCAAAGCAGGUUAGAAUUUUUUAUUUUAUCUAAAUAUAAAUGAUGUAAUAAGCUUUUCUUUUGGCAACUCCUGUAAUGAUGUUAUCAAUUUGUGUUCUUUAAAGUGACAUCUGGUAGAAAAUUAAAUUACUAUACUAGUUUCUCUUUUUCUUCUUUGCAUUUCAGGCUCAAGCAGAAGGCCUUAUCAGUGAAAUUCAUCUGAGGGAGAUUGAGUUUGAAAGAUUAAAUGGACUGUGGAAAAGAAUCCAGACGCGUAACACAGAUCUGAAUACAGCAAGGAAUAGGUUUGGAAUAAGCAGCUCUGACAGUGGACCUGUUUCUUCUAAUUACACUGUUGAUCCUGACCACAAGCUUCCUUUCCAUAUAGCUGGUCGAAAUGACAGUUUGCAGAGGUUGAUGCUACUCAGGUCGGCUUUUGUGCUUUACAUUUUAGCUCUGCAUGUAUUGGUAUUCAUUAAAAUUUCAUUCUAAAUGCCCCCCCUCAUACCAAAUUUCUCUUUAUUGUUGGUCUCAUUUCUGGUUUUGAUGUCAAUACAUUCUUAUGUAUAUAUUCUACUCCUGAUUGUACAAAAACUCAUGGCGUGCUUAGUCAAACUAUUGGCUCAAUUUAACAAAGGGGAUGAAACUUUUCUUUUGAUGUGCACUCUAGCUAUAUAAUUAUUUUUCCCUCGUCUUUCUCACCCUUGCAAUUUUAUGAUUCUGCUACUAUGUUAAGUUACUUGGCAAUUGGCAUUAGAAACCUGGUUUCGUUGCAAAACAUAAGAGUGGGAUAAAGGAAAAAAUGGCCAAGCAGAACUGCAGAACAAUAAGAUGGAGCAAGUUUGAAAUAUGAUGGCUUGAAGGUUCUUUUGUCCCACCUUUGUGGCCUUUUUAUCCUUUUGUUAAUGUCCAUCAAUUC